AAGUGGUGUUGUGGUCCUAAUUUCAUGAAUAUGUCUAAGUGCUCGUUUGAGCGUAAGUUAUGAACCGGGCAUGUGAUAAGUGUGCGAAUCAUUAUCAUGGGACUCGAGGAAACUAGGUAUGUAUGUCGGGUAGGAAUCUUUAAUAAGGAUGGUUUACUCUUGGGACCGGCCGGCUCGAGUUGUGAAUUAUCUUAGAUGGGAUUCUUGUGCCCGGAUACGGAAGAGAUGAGAGCCUAGGUAGGCAAUUUGGGCUAGUCAUUUGCUUGAUCCGUUGGGUACCUUAGAUUUGAGGGAUUCCGCUGAUAAGGAAUUUCGAGGACGAAAUUCUUUUAAGGGGGGGAGAGUGUGAGAACCCGUAAAACCCUAAUAUUUUUCCUAGGGUUUAUUUCCCCUUAAUUGCAUGUUUUCUGCAUUUUCUGGCUUAGGAAUAUUUUCCUGGUGAAUUUUAUGAGUAAUUAUAGUUUUAAGAUGAGUUUUCUCGUAUUGGAUAGUUUUUAGAAAAUUAAGAAUAUAUAUUGGACGUGGGACCCACGAGUGCGAAAAAGUUCGGGAAAAUUCGGCCAAUACGGUUAAGUUUCGGAUACUGUGGAAAAGUUAUCGGAUGUUACGAGAUAAGUAGAGAGUGAGAUUUGAUUGAUGUGAGAGAGAAAAGAAAGGAUAGGAAUGCAUUUAUUAGAGUGCCAAGUGUCAAUUUUCCAUUGGUUUGACUUUAAGAGUUACUAUUCACUAUUUUGACCUUUGACCAAAAUU
This 750-nucleotide long non-coding RNA is filed under the name Coffea arabica (coffee). RNAcentral's name for it is "long non-coding RNA (CARA_LNC002584)". Lineage: Eukaryota; Viridiplantae; Streptophyta; Magnoliopsida; Gentianales; Rubiaceae. The record is from RNAcentral.